GACAGAGGGUGCAAACGUUGUUCGGAAUUACUGGGCGUAAAGCGCGUGUAGGCUGCUCGGAAAGUCGGAUGUGAAAGCCCUGGGCUCAACCUAGGAAGUGCAUUCGAAACUUCUGAGCUGGAGUGCUGGAGAGGAAGGCGGAAUUCUCGGUGUAGAGGUGAAAUUCGUAGAUAUCGAGAGGAACACCGGUGGCGAAGGCGGCCUUCUGGACAGUAACUGACGCUGAGGAGCGAAAGCCAGGGGAGCAAACGGG
RNAcentral lists this ribosomal RNA (253 nucleotides) under uncultured bacterium. RNAcentral describes it as "partial 16S ribosomal RNA". It matches the Rfam family "Bacterial small subunit ribosomal RNA", at positions 524 to 776 of the family's 1533-position model. The record is from RNAcentral.